This 472-nucleotide ribosomal RNA is filed under the name uncultured bacterium. RNAcentral's name for it is "bacterial SSU rRNA". It matches the Rfam family "Bacterial small subunit ribosomal RNA", at positions 355 to 825 of the family's 1533-position model. The record is from RNAcentral.
UCGGGAAUUUUGGGCAAUGGGGGCAAGCCUGAUCCAGCCAUACCGCGUGAGUGAAGAAGGCCUUCGGGUUGUAAAGCUCUUUCAGACGGAAAGAAACGGUUACGGCUAAUACCCGUGACUAAUGACGGUACCGUAAGAAGAAGCACCGGCUAACUACGUGCCAGCAGCCGCGGUAAUACGUAGGGUGCGAGUGUUAAUCGGAAUUACUGGGCGUAAAGCGUGCGCAGGCGGUUUGGUAAGACAGGUGUGAAAUCCCCGGGCUUAACCUGGGAACUGCAUUUGUGACUGCCAGACUAGAGUGUAGCAGAGGGGGGUAGAAUUCCACGUGUAGCAGUGAAAUGCGUAGAUAUGUGGAGGAAUACCGAUGGCGAAGGCAGCCCCCUGGGCUAACACUGACGCUCAUGCACGAAAGCGUGGGGAGCAAACAGGAUUAGAUACCCUUGUAGUCCCUGAGCGGGCUGGCAAGGCGCAU